UAAGUGGCUGUGAAGAGGAGCAGUAGAUUGCGUCUAUUCUUGAAGAGAGCCGGCGGGUGGUGCAAGCCGGUGGAUAGCGCAAUUGAACUCGCCUUGGAGUCCGUGUAUGUGAAUGGAGUAAUAUACACCGUUUUCCGCGUUAAGGAAUCAAGUUGAGCGGCUGGCCGCUAAUUUGGGUGGUACCGCGGGAAACUCCCGUCCCUUAU
RNAcentral lists this non-coding RNA (206 nucleotides) under Planococcus glaciei. RNAcentral describes it as "Planomicrobium glaciei T-box sequence". It matches the Rfam family "T-box leader". From Rfam's summary of the family: Uncharged tRNA acts as the effector for transcription antitermination of genes in the T-box leader family. T-boxes are found upstream of many aminoacyl-tRNA synthetase genes and some amino acid biosynthetic genes usually in Gram-positive bacteria. Lineage: Bacteria; Bacillati; Bacillota; Bacilli; Caryophanales; Caryophanaceae. The record is from RNAcentral.